This 1355-nucleotide ribosomal RNA is filed under the name uncultured bacterium. Its description in RNAcentral is "bacterial SSU rRNA". It matches the Rfam family "Bacterial small subunit ribosomal RNA", at positions 28 to 1381 of the family's 1533-position model. The record is from RNAcentral.
AUUGAACGCUGGCGGCAGGCUUAACACAUGCAAGUCGAACGAUGAUUUCCCAGCUUGCUGGGAAUGAUUAGUGGCGGACGGGUGAGUAACAUUUAGGAAUCUGCCUAGUAGUGGGGGAUAGCUCGGGGAAACUCGAAUUAAUACCGCAUACGACCUACGGGUGAAAGGGGGCGCAAGCUCUUGCUAUUAGAUGAGCCUAAAUCAGAUUAGCUAGUUGGUGGGGUAAAGGCCCACCAAGGCGACGAUCUGUAACUGGUCUGAGAGGAUGAUCAGUCACACCGGAACUGAGACACGGUCCGGACUCCUACGGGAGGCAGCAGUGGGGAAUAUUGGACAAUGGGGGCAACCCUGAUCCAGCCAUGCCGCGUGUGUGAAGAAGGCCUUUUGGUUGUAAAGCACUUUAAGCAGGGAGGAGAGGCUAAUGGUUAAUACCCAUUAGAUUAGACGUUACCUGCAGAAUAAGCACCGGCUAACUCUGUGCCAGCAGCCGCGGUAAUACAGAGGGUGCGAGCGUUAAUCGGAAUUACUGGGCGUAAAGCGAGUGUAGGUGGCUCAUUAAGUCACAUGUGAAAUCCCCGGGCUUAACCUGGGAACUGCAUGUGAUACUGGUGGUGCUAGAAUAUGUGAGAGGGAAGUAGAAUUCCAGGUGUAGCGGUGAAAUGCGUAGAGAUCUGGAGGAAUACCGAUGGCGAAGGCAGCUUCCUGGCAUAAUAUUGACACUGAGAUUCGAAAGCGUGGGUAGCAAACAGGAUUAGAUACCCUGGUAGUCCACGCCGUAAACGAUGUCUACUAGCCGUUGGGGUCCUUGAGACUUUAGUGGCGCAGUUAACGCGAUAAGUAGACCGCCUGGGGAGUACGGCCGCAAGGUUAAAACUCAAAUGAAUUGACGGGGGCCCGCACAAGCGGUGGAGCAUGUGGUUUAAUUCGAUGCAACGCGAAGAACCUUACCUGGUCUUGACAUAGUGAGAAUCUCUCAGAGAUGAGAGAGUGCCUUCGGGAACUCACAUACAGGUGCUGCAUGGCUGUCGUCAGCUCGUGUCGUGAGAUGUUGGGUUAAGUCCCGCAACGAGCGCAACCCUUUUCCUUAUUUGCCAGCGGGUUAAGCCGGGAACUUUAAGGAUACUGCCAGUGACAAACUGGAGGAAGGCGGGGACGACGUCAAGUCAUCAUGGCCCUUACGACCAGGGCUACACACGUGCUACAAUGGUAGGUACAGAGGGUUGCUACACAGCGAUGUGAUGCUAAUCUCAAAAAGCCUAUCGUAGUCCGGAUUGGAGUCUGCAACUCGACUCCAUGAAGUCGGAAUCGCUAGUAAUCGCAGAUCAGAAUGCUGCGGUGAAUACGUCCCCGGGCCU